RNAcentral lists this ribosomal RNA (440 nucleotides) under uncultured bacterium. Its description in RNAcentral is "bacterial SSU rRNA". It matches the Rfam family "Bacterial small subunit ribosomal RNA", at positions 338 to 795 of the family's 1533-position model. The record is from RNAcentral.
CCUACGGGGGGCUGCAGUGGGGAAUAUUGCACAAUGGGGGAAACCCUGAUGCAGCAACGCCGCGUGAGCGAUGAAGGCCUUCGGGUCGUAAAGCUCUGUCCUAAGGGAAGAAUACUGACGGUACCUUAGGAGGAAGCCCCGGCUAACUACGCGCCAGCAGCCGCGGUAAUACGUAGGGGGCUAGCGUUAUCCGGAAUUACUGGGCGUAAAGGGUGCGUAGGCGGCCCUUCAAGUCAGAGGUGAAAGGCUACGGCUCAACCGUAGUAAGCCUUUGAAGCUGUAGGGCUUGGGUGCAGGAGAGGAGAGUGGAAUUCCCAGGGGAGGGGGUAAAAGCGUAGAUAUUGGGAGGAAACCCAGUUGCGAAGGCAGCUCUCUUGACUGUAACUGAAGCUGAGGGACGAAAGCGUGGGGAGCGAACAGGAUUAGAUACCCGUGUAGUC